AACAAGAGAGACAGAAACAAGCCGCUCUCGCCCUCUCCCUUUUCCUUGCUUGAAACUCCAAAAUCCACAACUCAGAAUCUCCGAAUUCCUUAACUUUCACAGCAUUUCCUUCCUUUCUCGGAAAAUUCCCAAAUGGGUUAGUCAUAAACAUCCUUUAAAUCAAAUGGGUCUGCGUUAAAGCCUCACCAGCAUGGAGUGGCUUAGCCUGUGAUAGACUCUGCUGGUUUUUAUUGCUUUCGGAUAUGGCUGUCAAAACUGGCUCUUCGUUUUCUUGUUUGGUCGCUUCUGUUUCUUCUCCUUUACAAUCGAGGAGAAGUUCCUGGUUGAGCUUAUCAGAAGGAUUUUAUGAGAUUCGGAAACAUGAUUUUCAGCUAAAAUAUGCUAAAGGCAAGUCAUGUCAGUGCAUAGGUGGAAAGCUGAAGUCAAAUGGAAAGUUCCCGAAGGGGCAACAUCUUCUCUGUGCUACUGCUAUUUCUGAAGAACAGACACAACAUAGUGAGAUCGAACCAGAUCCAUCAAGGGUAGGAAAUCAUCUUCCUCUUGCUGAAGAUGUUUCUCCUGCAAGCAGCUCAUAUAUCCAUUUCAAGGGAACUGGUGGAAAACCCGGUUUACUCUCAUUUUAUAACCGUCCAUAUAAAGGAGAGGACAAAGUCCUUAUUUCCAGCCCACAGAAGAGUCAGAACAACCUACUCUGGUUUAUUGGUCCAUCUGUCCUUGUAGCCUCUUUCAUUUUCCCCUCACUUUAUAUGCGCAGAAUGCUCUCCACUGUAUUUGAGGACUCUUUGUUGACAGAUUUCCUCAUACUGUUCUUUACUGAAGCUCUUUUCUACUGUGGAGUUGCUGUAUUUCUUUUACUAAUUGACCGCUUAAGGAGACCUAUCAUGCCAGAUUCUGCUACAGGCAUGGACAGAACCCUGGCUUCUCAUCUAGGUCAGCGAAUCUCUUCUGUAGCUGCCCUAGUGCUUAGUCUAAUCAUUCCUAUGGUGACAAUGGGCUUGGUCUGGCCGUGGACUGGUCCAGCAGCGUCUGCUACUCUUGCUCCAUACCUCGUCGGUAUUGUUGUCCAGUUUGCAUUUGAGCAGUAUGCGAGAUAUAAGAAGUCACCUUCAUCUGCUGUCAUUCCAAUUAUCUUUCAGGUUUAUAGAUUGCACCAACUGAACAGAGCAGCACAACUGGUGACAGCUUUGUCAUUUACAGUUAGAGGAGCUGAGAUGACCUCACACAACUUGGCAAUAAACAGCUCUCUGAGUACUCUUCUCAAUGUCCUCCAAGUUCUUGGGGUCAUUUGCAUUUGGUCUCUCUCAAGCUUCCUCAUGCGGUUCUUCCCUUCUACUGCCAUGACUGUGCAGUGAGACACGUGUUUCAGGAAAAAUUAUCAUCUCACAUAACAGGGAACAAUCGCUGCAGGUGUUCUUUUUUCAGAAUAUCUGAUAUCACCUCACUACCUGACGCAACCUUACUCGCAUGUUGGAUUAGACUUCAUACUUGCUCUCAAGUGGCAGCUGCAUGGAAGAUUAUUCAUUUGUGCAUUAUGUGGUGCAUUUGGUUGGAAAUGAAUGAGAGGUGUUUUCAUAAUAGGGAAUGCAAUGUAGAAGAACUUUGGAAAUUUUUUGUGUUCCUUGUUUAGUUGGUCUUCAACUAUUGUACUUAAUGGAGGGGCUGUCCAUGAGUUGUUGUCCUCGUUUUUCUAGUAUUAGAAUGUAUUUAGGCGUUUCUUUUGUAUACAUCCUCUGUAAAUGGAUUUCACCUAUUGCAUUUGAUGAAUAAAAUUUGUACACAUCAAAAAAA
Juglans regia (Persian walnut) is the source of this 1788-nucleotide RNA transcript. RefSeq lists it as uncharacterized. Lineage: Eukaryota; Viridiplantae; Streptophyta; Magnoliopsida; Fagales; Juglandaceae. The record is from RefSeq and is a predicted model, not a curated record. The transcript has 6 exons.